RNAcentral lists this transfer RNA (81 nucleotides) under Phytophthora infestans T30-4. RNAcentral's name for it is "tRNA-Ser for anticodon GCU". It matches the Rfam family "tRNA". Rfam says of the family: Transfer RNA (tRNA) molecules are approximately 80 nucleotides in length. Their secondary structure includes four short double-helical elements and three loops (D, anti-codon, and T loops). The record is from Rfam by way of RNAcentral. Lineage: Eukaryota; Oomycota; Peronosporomycetes; Peronosporales; Peronosporaceae.
GACAGCUUGGCCGAGUGGUUAAGGCGAUAGACUAGAAAUCUAUUGGGGUAACCCGCGUGAGUUCAAAUCUCACAGCUGUUG